RNAcentral lists this ribosomal RNA (426 nucleotides) under uncultured bacterium. Its description in RNAcentral is "bacterial SSU rRNA". It matches the Rfam family "Bacterial small subunit ribosomal RNA", at positions 354 to 796 of the family's 1533-position model. The record is from RNAcentral.
GUGAGGAAUUUUCCGCAAUGGGCGAAAGCCUGACGGAGCAAUGCCGCGUGAAGGAUGAAGGCCUAUGGGUUGUAAACUUCUUUUCUCAGAAAAGAAUUAUGACGGUAUCUGAGGAAUAAGCAUCGGCUAACUCUGUGCCAGCAGCCGCGGUAAGACAGAGGAUGCAAGCGUUAUCCGGAAUGAUUGGGCGUAAAGCGUCUGUAGGUUGUUUAAAAAGUAUUCUGUCAAAGAUUAGGGCUUAACCCUAGAUAGGCAGAAUAAACUUUUAAGCUAGAGUUUGGUAGAGGCAGAGGGAAUUCCCGGUGGAGCGGUGAAAGGCGUAGAUAUCGGGAGGAACACCAAAGGCGAAGGCACUCUGCUGGGCCAAUACUAACACUGAGAGACGAAAGCGAGGGGAGCAAAUGGGAUUAGAUACCCCGGUAGUCC